CAACCUGGUUGAUCCUGCCAGUUAGUCAUAUGCUUGUCUCAAAGAUUAAGCCAUGCAUGUCUAAGAAUAAGCCCCAGAAUGGUGAAUCUGCGAAUGGCUCAUUAAAUCAGUUAUUGUUUAUUUGAUGGUACCUUACUACAUGGAUAUCCGUAGUAAUUCUAGAGUUAAUACAUGCGUCAAACCGCGACUUCGG
This 193-nucleotide ribosomal RNA is filed under the name uncultured eukaryote. RNAcentral's name for it is "partial 18S ribosomal RNA". It matches the Rfam family "Eukaryotic small subunit ribosomal RNA", at positions 1 to 192 of the family's 1831-position model. The record is from RNAcentral.